CUACGGGAUGCUCCAGUGAGGAAUAUUGCACAAUGGGGGGAACCCUGAUGCAGCAACGCCGCGUGGAGGAUGACGCAUUUCGGUGUGUAAACUCCUUUUAUAUGUCAAGAAAAUGACGGUAGCAUAUGAAUAAGCACCGGCUAACUCCGUGCCAGCAGCCGCGGUAAUACGGGAGGGUGCAAGCGUUACUCGGAAUCACUGGGCGUAAAGGACGCGUAGGCGGGUUGGAAAGUCAGGUGUGAAAUCCUACAGCUUAACCGUAGAACUGCACUUGAAACUUCUAAUCUAGAGUAUGGGAGGGGGAGAUGGAAUUAGUGGUGUAGGGGUAAAAUCCGUAGAUAUCACUAGGAAUACCUAAAGCGAAGGCGAUCUCCUGGAACAUUACUGACGCUAAGGCGUGAAAGCGUGGGGAGCAAACAGGAUUAGAUACCCCUGUAGUC
Molecule: ribosomal RNA, 440 nt
Filed under: uncultured bacterium
Lineage: Bacteria
Description: partial 16S ribosomal RNA
Rfam family: Bacterial small subunit ribosomal RNA
Source: RNAcentral